Molecule: long non-coding RNA, 1176 nt
Filed under: Chloebia gouldiae (Gouldian finch)
Lineage: Eukaryota; Metazoa; Chordata; Aves; Passeriformes; Passeridae
Description: Erythrura gouldiae (Gouldian finch) lncRNA (ENSEGOG00005017015.1)
Source: RNAcentral
GAGCAGUGUAGAGCCCCAGACCUGCACCAGUAGCUCACUCUGGGCUGCUCCCAGCCCAGCUUGGGGCUGAUUGCUGCUUUGCUCUCUGCUGGUUCCCUCCAGUUCCUGCCUCCCUGAGGAUUCCCCCCUCUCCCAGAGCCUGCCCCGGUGCCGUGCAGGGAGGGAUUGGUCGGAGUCCAUGGAAUAUAAACUCUGCUCUGCUUUCCUUGGGGCAGUUGCACUCAAACUGGAAAGAGCCCAGGGCUCAGUCCUGCUGCUUCUCAGUUCAGAGCCAGAGUGGGUUCUCAGGAAUUCAUCCCCUUCUUCAAAUAAAUGGCUCAUCAGAGCCCAGGAACAGGGCUGUCCGUGGUCCACAGCAUGGCCUGUUCCUCCCCAACAGCUCCUGGCCUGUUCCUUCAUGGUCUGUUCCUCCCCAACAUCUCCUGGUCUGUUCCUUCCCUACAGCUCCUGGCCUGUUCUUCAUGGUCUGUUCCUUCCCUACAGCUCCUGGCCUGUUCCUUCAUGGUCUGUUCCUUCCCAGCAGCUCCUGGCCUGUUCUUCAUGGCCUGUUCCUCCCCAACAGCUCCUGCUCUGUUCCUUCCCUGCAUUCACUGUCUUUGCCUUCCCAGCCUGGCAUUGCCUUUCCUUCCCAACCUGGAGUUGCCUUUCCCUUCCCAACCCAUCACUGCCUUUGCCUUCCCAGGGCUGGGCAGCUCCUGCAGGGACAUGGGGACAGGGCUGGACACCUGCAGGGACAUGGGGACAGGGUUGGGCAGCUCCUUCAGGGACAUGUCACACCUCCUGCAGGGACAGGGACAUGGGGACAGGGACAGCUGCCUGGACACUCCUGGCAGCAGCUCAGCAGCUCAGAGACAUCUGCUGGGUGCUGACAGCUCUAAUGAAAUGUAAAAACCAACUCCCUAAAAAGCCAAAGGAUUGGGAAAUGGGGCCUGAUGCUCCAAGGACAGCUCUGGAACAGCACACACGGGCCUGUGCAGGAAUCCUGCAGGGGGGAUUUAUAUCCCAUGGACAUCACAGGGACAAAAAGGACCCACUGGGGUUUCUGUGAGGGACAAGAGGCCUUUGGGCUUCUGUGACACCAGUGAAGCAACAAAAACAACAAUAAACCCCCUGCCCUGGCUUCAGGUGAGGGGGGCUGUCACCAGGGGAGGUUUUCUGCUGGAACUCAGCUCCAAA